Molecule: transfer RNA, 64 nt
Filed under: Cavia porcellus (domestic guinea pig)
Lineage: Eukaryota; Metazoa; Chordata; Mammalia; Rodentia; Caviidae
Rfam family: tRNA
About the family: Transfer RNA (tRNA) molecules are approximately 80 nucleotides in length. Their secondary structure includes four short double-helical elements and three loops (D, anti-codon, and T loops).
Source: Rfam by way of RNAcentral
GGGGAUUUAGCUCAACAGCACAAGUGCCUGCCUUGCAAGCAGGAAGUUGUGGGGUUAAUCCCCG